GAUGAACGCUGGCGGCGUGCCUAAUACAUGCAAGUCGAACGAACUUCCGUUAAUUGAUUAUGACGUACUUGUACUGAUUGAGAUUUUAACACGAAGUGAGUGGCGAACGGGUGAGUAACACGUGGGUAACCUGCCCAGAAGUAGGGGAUAACACCUGGAAACAGAUGCUAAUACCGUAUAACAGAGAAAACCGCAUGGUUUUCUUUUAAAAGAUGGCUCUGCUAUCACUUCUGGAUGGACCCGCGGCGUAUUAGCUAGUUGGUGAGGUAAAGGCUCACCAAGGCAGUGAUACGUAGCCGACCUGAGAGGGUAAUCGGCCACAUUGGGACUGAGACACGGCCCAGACUCCUACGGGAGGCAGCAGUAGGGAAUCUUCCACAAUGGACGAAAGUCUGAUGGAGCAACGCCGCGUGAGUGAAGAAGGGUUUCGGCUCGUAAAGCUCUGUUGUUAAAGAAGAACGUGGGUAAGAGUAACUGUUUACCCAGUGACGGUAUUUAACCAGAAAGCCACGGCUAACUACGUGCCAGCAGCCGCGGUAAUACGUAGGUGGCAAGCGUUAUCCGGAUUUAUUGGGCGUAAAGCGAGCGCAGGCGGUCUUUUAAGUCUAAUGUGAAAGCCUUCGGCUCAACCGAAGAAGUGCAUUGGAAACUGGGAGACUUGAGUGCAGAAGAGGACAGUGGAACUCCAUGUGUAGCGGUGAAAUGCGUAGAUAUAUGGAAGAACACCAGUGGCGAAGGCGGCUGUCUGGUCUGCAACUGACGCUGAGGCUCGAAAGCAUGGGUAGCGAACAGGAUUAGAUACCCUGGUAGUCCAUGCCGUAAACGAUGAUUACUAAGUGUUGGAGGGUUUCCGCCCUUCAGUGCCAAGUAACGCAUUAAGUAAUCCGCCUGGGGAGUACGACCGCAAGGUUGAAACUCAAAAGAAUUGACGGGGGCCCGCACAAGCGGUGGAGCAUGUGGUUUAAUUUGAAGCUACGCGAAGAACCUUACCAGGUCUUGACAUUUUUACAGUCUAAGAGAUUAGAGGUUCCCUUCGGGGACAGAAUGACAGGUGUGCAUGGUUGUCGUCAGCUCGUGUCGUGAGAUGUUGGGUUAAGUCCCGCAACGAGCGCAACCCUUAUUACUAGUUGCCAGCAUUAAGUUGGGCACUCUAGUGAGACUGCCGGUGACAAACCGGAGGAAGGUGGGGACGACGUCAAAUCAUCAUGCCCCUUAUGACCUGGGCUACACACGUGCUACAAUGGAUGGUACAACGAGUCGCGAGCUCGCGAGGUUAAGCUAAUUUUUUAAAACCAUUCUCAGUUCGGACUGUAGGCUGCAACUCGCCUACACGAAAUUGGAAUCGCUAGUAAUCGCGGAUCAGCAUGCCGCGGUGAAUACGUUCCCGGUGUAUGUUCCGCCCGUCUUUGUAUUUUGUAACAGGGUCACUUUAGAGUUUAACCUUG
This 1445-nucleotide ribosomal RNA is filed under the name Pediococcus pentosaceus. RNAcentral's name for it is "bacterial SSU rRNA". It matches the Rfam family "Bacterial small subunit ribosomal RNA". Lineage: Bacteria; Bacillati; Bacillota; Bacilli; Lactobacillales; Lactobacillaceae. The record is from RNAcentral.